AUUGAACGCUGGCGGCAUGCCUAACACAUGCAAGUCGAGCGGAGUGGCGGACGGGUGAGUAAUGCCUAGGAAUCUGCCUGGUAGUGGGGGAUAACGUCCGGAAACGGGAGCUAAUAUCGCAUACUAUCAGAUGAGUCUAGGUCGGAUUAGCUAGUUGGGGGGGGAAAGGCAUACCAUGGCGACGAACCGUAACUGGUCGGAGAGGAUGAUCAGUCAAACUGGAACUGAGACACGGUCCGGACUCCUACGGGAGGCAGCUGUGGGGAAUUUUGGACAAUGGGCGAAAUCCUGAUCCAGCCAUGCCGGUUGUGUUAAGAAGCUCUUCGGUUUGUAAGGCACUUUAAGUUGGGAGGCGUUACCAGCAGAAUAAGCACCGGCUAACUUCGUGCCAGCAGCCGCGGUAAUAC
Molecule: ribosomal RNA, 407 nt
Filed under: uncultured bacterium
Lineage: Bacteria
Description: partial 16S ribosomal RNA
Rfam family: Bacterial small subunit ribosomal RNA
Source: RNAcentral